GAAAUAGCUCAGCUUGGUAGAGCACUUGGUUUGGGACCAAGGGGUCGCAGGUUCGAAUCCUGUUUUCC
RNAcentral lists this transfer RNA (68 nucleotides) under Aerococcus urinaeequi. It matches the Rfam family "tRNA". Rfam says of the family: Transfer RNA (tRNA) molecules are approximately 80 nucleotides in length. Their secondary structure includes four short double-helical elements and three loops (D, anti-codon, and T loops). RNAcentral also lists the same sequence under 2 other names. The record is from RNAcentral. Lineage: Bacteria; Bacillati; Bacillota; Bacilli; Lactobacillales; Aerococcaceae.